This is a long non-coding RNA of Odocoileus virginianus texanus, 599 nucleotides long. RefSeq lists it as uncharacterized. Lineage: Eukaryota; Metazoa; Chordata; Mammalia; Artiodactyla; Cervidae. The record is from RefSeq and is a predicted model, not a curated record.
AGGAUCAGGGCUGGGCUGACUGCUGACCACCUCAAGGGUCGGCGCUCCCACAGACAGCUCUGCCGGAAUCUCUUUCCUCUGCACCGCUGGUUGACUUCAUCCAGUCCAAGAGCUCAGACACAUCUGUGUUCUGAAUCUGAGCUUCAGGUGCUUGCAUCCAGUAGCCCAUUUGAUUAUGCCACCUUGAUGUCCUUUUGGCAGCUCAAGUUUCAGGUGUAAACAGGCGCCGGUCAAAAGCAAGAAACUGGAAAUACAUGACCUGUGUGCUGAGGUCGCCUCCAUCCUGUGCGGCUUGCUGAUUAACUGUCAGAGCCUGCAAAGCUGUAGAUGGCCCUGGUCGAUCACGGCCACACCACUGGCCCCUGGAGUUGUGUGGGGCUCCUCAGAGACAGAGGAGGGGCGGAGCGGCGCCAACAGGGACAGUCCCGAGUCCAGAGCUGCCACGAGACUGCCUUCUGCUGCUGUCCUUCUAAGGAGCCUCUGUUUUUAACCCUGUGGAGCCUGUGACUCAGUCCACAGGAAUUCCCAGACUAUUCAGAAUGGGUUUCUACCUACUCCGCCUUUCUCUUUCAUCUGAUAAAAAUAAUCACUUUCUUGAA